Molecule: ribosomal RNA, 310 nt
Filed under: uncultured Spirotrichea
Lineage: Eukaryota; Ciliophora; Spirotrichea
Description: SSU rRNA
Rfam family: Eukaryotic small subunit ribosomal RNA
Source: RNAcentral
AUUCUAGAGCUAAUACAUGCUGUUAAGCCUGACUUACGAAGGGCUGUAUUUAUUAGAUAACAGACCAAUAUUCCUCGUGUCUAUUGUGGUGAAUCAUAGUAACUGAUCGGAUCGCAUGGGCUUGCCCGCGACAAACCAUUCAAGUUUCUGCCCCAUCAGCUUUCGAUGGUAGUGUAUUGGACUACCAUGGCUUUUACGGGUAACGGAGGAUUAGGGUUCGAUUCCGGAGAGGGAGCCUGAGAAACGGCUACCACAUCUAAGGAAGGCAGCAGGCGCGUAAAUUACCCAAUCCUGACUCAGGGAGGUAGUG